UGGGGAAUAAUGCACAAUGGACGGAAGUCUGAUGCAGCGACGCCGCGUGGGGGAUGAAGGCUUUCGGGUUGUAAACUCCUUUUGAUGCUGAACAAGGCUCUUUUUAGGGUUGAGGGUAGGUGUUGAAUAAGCGCCGGCUAACUACGUGCCAGCAGCCGCGGUAAUACGUAGGGCGCGAGCGUUGUCCGGAAUUAUUGGGCGUAAAGGGCUCGUCGGCGGUUUGUCGCGUCUGCUGUGAAAGACCGGGGCUUAACUCCGGGGUUGCAGUGGGUACGGGCAGACUAGGGUGGGGUAGGGAGAGCUGGAAUUCCUGGUGUAGCGGUAGAAUGCGCAGAUAUCAGGAGGACCACCGAUGGCGAAGGCAGGUUACUGGGCCGUUACUGACGCUGAGGAGCGAAAGCAUGGGGAGCGAACAGG
This 417-nucleotide ribosomal RNA is filed under the name Fusobacteriota bacterium. RNAcentral describes it as "Fusobacteria bacterium partial 16S ribosomal RNA". It matches the Rfam family "Bacterial small subunit ribosomal RNA", at positions 355 to 776 of the family's 1533-position model. The record is from RNAcentral. Lineage: Bacteria; Fusobacteriati; Fusobacteriota.